Molecule: ribosomal RNA, 253 nt
Filed under: uncultured bacterium
Lineage: Bacteria
Description: partial 16S ribosomal RNA
Rfam family: Bacterial small subunit ribosomal RNA
Source: RNAcentral
UACGGGGGAGCAAGCGUUGUUCGGAUUUACUGGGCGUAAAGGGCGCGUAGGCGGUCAGCACAAGUCAGUUGUGAAAUCUCCGGGCUUAACUCGGAAAGGUCAACUGAUACUGUGCGACUAGAGUGCAGAAGGGGCAACUGGAAUUCUCGGUGUAGCGGUGAAAUGCGUAGAUAUCGAGAGGAACACCUGCGGCGAAGGCGGGUUGCUGGGCUGACACUGACGCUGAUGCGCGAAAGCGUGGGUAGCAAACAGG